RNAcentral lists this long non-coding RNA (1260 nucleotides) under Mus spicilegus (steppe mouse). RNAcentral describes it as "lncRNA (ENSMSIG00000015517.1)". The record is from RNAcentral. Lineage: Eukaryota; Metazoa; Chordata; Mammalia; Rodentia; Muridae.
GCAAAAUUAUAUGUUUUAGUAAAUCAGAAUUGGUAUCAGCGUUUCUACCAUAAAUUCUAUUUUGAACCUUCUUUGUAAACCAAAUUCUUUUCUUCCUUCCAGGUUUCUUUUCUUAGCUGUGUCUUAAUUGUGUCAUCCCUAAGCAUUAAAGGAAGAGUGCUGACAGUCUGUACUUGUACCCUCAGUGGAAGUAGAGGCACAAAAUGCUUUCUAUUGAUGAAGAAAACCUAAAAGUUAGAACUCCCUUCUGUGACUGAGCAAAUGGGAAGGAAAUUUCCUCAUGAAGUCAAAAGUUGCUAACACUGUGAGGUAAUGCUUUGUUGUCAUUUUGUGCAGCACUUUAUUAGCAAUGGUUCUGUUUUUCACAGUCCUGUUGGCCAUUUGUCUUUCUUGAGAAAAAGUGUGGUGUUCUAGAAAUAAUUUAAUUAUAAGGGUGGAUUAUUUUAUGUUUCCUUUUGUUUUUGAGUUGAAGAUGUUUCCUGGAGGACACUGUGGUCCUAGAGGACGCUGUGGUUAUGGACAUGUUACUGGGGAUGCCUUGCAGUGUCUUUGUUCCUUCUGCUAAUUAACUGAGUUCCCAUUUCACUUGCUCUCUCCUUUGCUGUACAGAACCUAAAUAAGUUGUUAAAUCAAUCCAUUCAACAACUACCUUUUGUUUGUUUGUUUUACUUGCUGUAUUUUUAAGUAGGGUCUCAUCUUGUACUCCAGGGUGCCUGAGACUCAUCAAACAACCCAAGCUGGCAUUUAAUUCAUGGAAAUCUUUCUGCCUCAGUCUUCAAAGUGUUCAUAUUACAAGCAUGAGUCAUCACAGCUGGUAAAUAAUAUCACUAUUACACAUGUUCUAUGGAGCACCACUACAUCUUACUGUGAUCUUCAGUGUGGAUGAUCUUGAAAUUCAGAAGUGUCAGCUUGCAGCAUGGUUUGAAAAUAUCUGUCCAGUUAUGAAAUUUAUGGGCCAGGAAUUUGUCAACGAAACAUGGAAAUAAUCUCAUUUGCUACCAAAGAAAGAGAGAAAGAAAGAAGAAAGAAAGAAAGAAAGAUGUAGUCUCCCCUCCCCCAGCCUGAAACCUGCUUGCUCAGGGGUGGAGCUUCCUGCUCAUUCAUUCUGCCACGCCCACUACUGGAAUCUGCUGCUUUGCUGUUCCGGAGCCACACACGUGCUCACCUUUCUACUGGACCCGAGAGUAUUCGUUGGGAAUCGUGUCCCUUCCCCCUUCCUUCAUAACUAGUGUCACAACAAUAAAAUUUGAGCUUUGAUCA